This 247-nucleotide non-coding RNA is filed under the name Gammaproteobacteria bacterium RIFCSPLOWO2_02_FULL_56_15. RNAcentral's name for it is "partial 16S ribosomal RNA". It matches the Rfam family "Bacterial small subunit ribosomal RNA", at positions 1 to 244 of the family's 1533-position model. Lineage: Bacteria; Pseudomonadati; Pseudomonadota; Gammaproteobacteria. The record is from RNAcentral.
AAACUGAAGAGUUUGAUCCUGGCUCAGAUUGAACGCUGGCGGCAUGCCUCAUACAUGCAAGUCGAACGGUAACAGGGGAGAGCUUGCUCUCUCGCUGACGAGUGGCGGACGGGUGAGUAAUGCAUAGGAAUCUGCCCAGUAGCGGGGGAUAACUUGGGGAAACUCAAGCUAAUACCGCAUACGCCCUACGGGGGAAAGCGGGGGACCUUCGGGCCUCGCACUAUUGGAUGAGCCUAUGUCUGAUUAG